RNAcentral lists this ribosomal RNA (497 nucleotides) under uncultured bacterium. RNAcentral's name for it is "partial 16S ribosomal RNA". It matches the Rfam family "Bacterial small subunit ribosomal RNA", at positions 28 to 507 of the family's 1533-position model. The record is from RNAcentral.
GAUGAACGCUGGCGGCGUGCCUAAUACAUGCAAGUCGAGCGAACGGACGAGAAGCUUGCUUCUCUGAUGCUAGCGGCGGACGGGUGAGUAACACGUGGAUAACCUACCUAUAAGACUGGGAUAACUUCGGGAAACCGGAGCUAAUACCGGAUAAUAUUUUGAACCGCAUGGUUCAAAAGUGAAAGACGGUCUUGCUGUCACUUAUAGAUGGAUCCGCGCUGCAUUAGCUAGUUGGUAAGGUAACGGCUUACCAAGGCAACGAUGCAUAGCCGACCUGAGAGGGUGAUCGGCCACACUGGAACUGAGACACGGUCCAGACUCCUACGGGAGGCAGCAGUAGGGAAUCUUCCGCAAUGGGCGAAAGCCUGACGGAGCAACGCCGCGUGAGUGAUGAAGGUCUUCGGAUCGUAAAACUCUGUUAUUAGGGAAGAACAUAUGUGUAAGUAACUGUGCACAUCUUGACGGUACCUAAUCAGAAAGCCACGGCUAACUACGCG